GACGAACGCUGGCGGCGUGCUUAACACAUGCAAGUCGAACGGGAAGGCCCCUUUGGGGGUACUCGAGUGGCGAACGGGUGCGUAACACGUGAGUAACCUGCCCUUGACUUCGGGAUAACUUCAGGAAACUGGGGCUAAUACCGGAUAGGAAUCCUUGCUGCAUGGUGGGGGUUGGAAAGCUUCGGCGGUUUUGGAUGGACUCGCGGCUUAUCAGCUUGUUGGUGGGGUAGUGGCUUACCAAGGCUUUGACGGGUAGCCGGCCUGAGAGGGCGACCGGCCACAUUGGGACUGAGAUACGGCCCAGACUCCUACGGGAGGCAGCAGUGGGGAAUAUUGCACAAUGGGCGGAAGCCUGAUGCAGCAACGCCGCGUGCGGGAUGACGGCCUUCGGGUUGUAAACCGCUUUCAGCAGGGGCGAAGCUUGUGGUGACGGUACCUGCAGAAGAAGCACCGGCUAACUACGUG
Molecule: ribosomal RNA, 465 nt
Filed under: uncultured bacterium
Lineage: Bacteria
Description: partial 16S ribosomal RNA
Rfam family: Bacterial small subunit ribosomal RNA
Source: RNAcentral